Molecule: long non-coding RNA, 1210 nt
Filed under: Apteryx rowi (Okarito brown kiwi)
Lineage: Eukaryota; Metazoa; Chordata; Aves; Apterygiformes; Apterygidae
Description: lncRNA (ENSARWG00000011238.1)
Source: RNAcentral
GUAACUUCCCAAACAACAAAAACUUGUCCCUAGAUGUGGUGACUGUGAGCAGGAGUUAUUUAUAAAUUGUUACAAUGAAUUAGAAAUGUGUAAAAGUGAACUAAUAAUAAAUUUACUUUUGUAACUAAAGCUUGUUUACAAAUAUGUCUUUUGUGGUGAAUUCUGAAAAGACCUUGGCUGGGAACCAUAUAAUUUCCUUGUUUUUAUAACUUCUUUGCCUGUGGUGUAUCUUAAUCUGCUUCUAUGAGGUACUGUAGAUUUUAGAAGAUAGGCAGCCUGGAGGAAGCCAAACUUGCUUUUCCUCUGGGAUAUCAGGCUGGAAAGGAAAGCAAACUGCCUGCCACGCUGCUCGGCUUGUGCCAAGUAAUGCCUUUCAAGAGCUGGCAUGAUCCUUCCAUCUCAUUCACGUGACUUUUCUGUCUCAGACAGGCUACUGGGUGUCUCUUGCGGAAGAGGACACAAGAAAAAACACUGGAUUUCAACAGAAAAGUUGAGAAACCUGAAUUUAAGGUAUGCUAAGGAAAGUGUCACUCUCCUACCUGACAAAUGAAGGGGUUUGUCGAAGUUUAGAAGAGUUUUGAACAACAGUGCAUGGACCUGAAGUCCACGGCCGACUCCUCCUGCAAGCACCCUGCCUGCAGUUGCUUCAACCUUUGGGGUAGGAAGGAGAGUGUGUGUGUGUGUGUGUGUGUGUGAGCCUCAUGAGCUGCAUGAAGUCAAGAGCUGAGAAGCUUCCUGUUUCCUUUUUAAGGCUUAACAGAAUUUGAAAGCAGCCGCUGCUGCGACCUGGACCAAUGAUCUGGGCAGAGAGACGGGGGAGUUUCAGCUCGGCUGCGCCUGGCGCCCGUUACGAAUGCCAGCUUGGCCUUCUCCUCCCCACGUGGAGCACGGGCAAGAAGGGGCUGCCUGCAGGCCACUCCUGAGGGCAGCCAGGCUGAGAUGCAGCUGGACACCCAGUGUCUGCUCUUCCAGCAAGCGAGGGUCUCUGCCUAUUCCUGCCCCUGGGACACAUGAGCAGGGAUGUGGAUGCAGGAGUGAUGCUCUUGAGGCAAUUUCUUCUGGCUCUCUUGGAGGUGAUUCCCUGGCCUUUCACUGCCACAGAAGAAGCAGAAGAGGCUUUGCAAAGAGCAUAAAAAACCUAUUCCCACCCAGGGUAUUAUUAGAGGCUAUUCUUCCUGGAAGAGCUGAAGUUGCGAUACCAACACCCUGA